This 572-nucleotide ribosomal RNA is filed under the name uncultured bacterium. RNAcentral describes it as "bacterial SSU rRNA". It matches the Rfam family "Bacterial small subunit ribosomal RNA", at positions 336 to 918 of the family's 1533-position model. The record is from RNAcentral.
UUCCUACGGGAGGCAGCAGUGGGGAAUAUUGCGCAAUGGGCGGAAGCCUGAUGCAGCAACGCCGCGUGCGGGAUGACGGCCUUCGGGUUGUAAACCGCUUUCGCCUGUGACGAAGCGUGAGUGACGGUAAUGGGUAAAGAAGCACCGGCUAACUACGUGCCAGCAGCCGCGGUGAUACGUAGGGUGCGAGCGUUGUCCGGAUUUAUUGGGCGUAAAGGGCUCGUAGGUGGUUGAUCGCGUCGGAAGUGUAAUCUUGGGGCUUAACCCUGAGCGUGCUUUCGAUACGGGUUGACUUGAGGAAGGUAGGGGAGAAUGGAAUUCCUGGUGGAGCGGUGGAAUGCGCAGAUAUCAGGAGGAACACCAGUGGCGAAGGCGGUUCUCUGGGCCUUUCCUGACGCUGAGGAGCGAAAGCGUGGGGAGCGAACAGGCUUAGAUACCCUGGUAGUCCACGCUGUAAACGGUGGGUACUAGGUGUGGGGCCCAUUCCACGGGUUCCGCGCCGUAGCUAACGCUUUAAGUACCCCGCCUGGGGAGUACGGCCGCAAGGCUAAAACUCAAAUGAAUUGACGGAA